This 376-nucleotide ribosomal RNA is filed under the name uncultured bacterium. Its description in RNAcentral is "bacterial SSU rRNA". It matches the Rfam family "Bacterial small subunit ribosomal RNA", at positions 29 to 421 of the family's 1533-position model. The record is from RNAcentral.
AAUGAACGUUGGCGGCGUGGAUUAGGCAUGCAAGUCGCGCGAUAAAUCCCGCAAGGGAUCGAAAGCGGCGUAAGGGAGAGUAACACGUGGAUUAUCUACCCUCGAGUCCGGGAUAGCCGCGGGAAACUGCGGGUAAUACCGGAUGACAUCUCCGGAUCAAAGGUGUGAUUCCGCUCGGGGAUGAGUCCGCGUCCUAUCAGCUAGUUGGUGGGGUAACGGCCUACCAAGGCAAUAACGGGUACGGGUGUGAGAGCACGACCCAGCUCACUGGGACUGAGACACGGCCCAGACUCCUACGGGAGGCAGCAGUGGGGAAUCUUGCGCAAUGGGCGAAAGCCUGACGCAGCGACGCCGCGUGCGGGAAGAAGGCCUUCGG